Molecule: ribosomal RNA, 383 nt
Filed under: uncultured eukaryote
Lineage: Eukaryota
Description: partial 18S ribosomal RNA
Rfam family: Eukaryotic small subunit ribosomal RNA
Source: RNAcentral
CAAUAGCGUAUAUUAAAGUUGUUGCAGUUAAAAAGCUCGUAGUUGGAUUUCUGGUAGGAGCGACCGUGCCGAACUUGAUUGUUCGAGUAUUGUGUUGUCUUCAGCCAUCCUCGUGGAGAACUUUUCUAACAUUAACUUGUUGGGAUUGGGACCCGCGUCGUUUACUGUGAAAAAAUUAGAGUGUUUAAAGCAGGCAUUAGCUUGAAUACAUUAGCAUGGAAUAAUAAGAUAGGACUUUGGUACUAUUUUGUUGGUUUGCAUACCAAAUUAAUGAUCAACAGGAACAGUUCGAGGAUAUUCGUAUGAACAUGUCAGAGGUGAAAUUCUUGGAUUUUGAUCAGACGAACUACUGCGAAAGCAUUUAUCAAGGAUGUUUUCAUUAA